CUACGGGCGGCUCCAGUGGGGAAUAUUGGACAAUGGGGGAAACCCUGAUCCAGCAAUGCCGCGUGUGUGAAGAAGGCCUGCGGGUUGUAAAGCACUUUCGGUUGGGAGGACUGCUUCUAGCACUAAUAUUGUUGGAAGUUGACGUUACCUUCAGAAGAAGCACCGGCUAACUCCGUGCCAGCAGCCGCGGUAAUACGGAGGGUGCAAGCGUUAAUCGGAAUUACUGGGCGUAAAGCGCGCGUAGGCGGCUAGAUCAGUCGGGUGUGAAAGCCCCGGGCUUAACCUGGGAACUGCAUCCGAUACUGUCUAGCUCGAGUACAGGAGAGGAGAGUGGAAUUCCACAUGUAGCGGUGAAAUGCGUAGAUAUGUGGAGGAACACCAAUGGCGAAGGCAGCUCUCUGGCCUGAUACUGACGCUGAGGUGCGAAAGCGUGGAGAGUAAACAGGAUUAGAUACCCGAGUAGUC
RNAcentral lists this ribosomal RNA (465 nucleotides) under uncultured bacterium. RNAcentral describes it as "partial 16S ribosomal RNA". It matches the Rfam family "Bacterial small subunit ribosomal RNA", at positions 339 to 795 of the family's 1533-position model. The record is from RNAcentral.